Bos taurus (domestic cattle) is the source of this 1996-nucleotide long non-coding RNA. The record is from Ensembl. NCBI's taxonomy places the organism in Eukaryota, Metazoa, Chordata, Mammalia, Artiodactyla, Bovidae.
GUGAGUGCCUGGGAGAGACACUCGGCUGUUUACAAGAAAUAUUCCAUUACAAUCUGACGCAAAAUGUUAGGAUGCCUCUGCGCCCAGGUUCCCUUCUCUGAGGGCAAACUGAUUAGCCUGUGGUUCCAACCGAUGUUUAUCCUCUCUGGCUCCGUGGAGAAUGCCAUUGGAAAAUCCCGGCUCAGUUGAUGCCUGGUCGCCUGGUACAUUCACAUUCAUCCAAUUAGGAUACCCAGUUUAAGACAUAAUGGGUUUCGGCAAGCUCCAUAGACUGAUCGGGUUUUGCACACAUGCACAGAAAGAUUUUAUUUCCUCUGUGGAAUUUAUGGCAGGGGAAAAGAGGCUCUGCUGCAGCAAGGGGGAACACUAGGGCAGAAAGAGGCUGAAACUGAGGACCAGGCUGGUAAGAAGAUUGACAGUGACAGUGAAAACGAUCAAGACUCUGUCUGCCAAGUUUGCAGGCUCGGUUUCUGAGCGCCUAUAGGCAGAAAGAAGAGUUGAGGAGCCCGGAAUGUUCACCAUGCCAGCGGACUGGCUUGCUGCGAGGCAGGUGGCCGCGGCAGAACCGGUUGGGAUGAGUUACGGCACCACCUCGGAUUCUGGGAUUCCCGCACUACUUUGCGGCUCUUCCUGCGCUCCAGAGCGCUCCUUUGAAACGAGCGCAAAAGGCACAAAUUUUGAGUAGCUAAACUCGUUUGCCCGAGACAGCAGCGCUUAGACAGACAAGCCGGGAGCGGAGAGCUUGCCUUGCUCCCCGUGGGUACGCUGCCAAAGUGGCGCUUGAUCGUUAGUGAAAAAAAAAAAAGACGGAGCGAUAUGGCUCAGUCCGGCGUUUGCAGGGGGAAGCAGACGAUUGCGAGUGAAGGCCCCAUGAGUCCAGCUCCGCCUGGACUACGCGGCUCCCCACCUCUGGCGGCCGCGGCUCCUGUUCCCCAGGACGUGCUCGCAGUUCCAACCUCUAAUCCUAGUCCUCAGCUGGCGCAGGCUGGCUGAAGGAUCGCGCAACUAGGCGGAAUGUGUUGACUCCAUCCUCCAGGGGAAUUCAGAUUGGACUGAAAGGAAAAAAUUUCCCAGACCUGGGCAGCAGCAGUCGCCGAUGAAACUGACCUUCAUGACACUGACCAGAGAUAAACCUCUUGGCAUGAGACAGCCUGGCACACCACUGAUCACUCGGUUGGGGACUAGGGACAAGCAGCCCACUACCACGAAAUUUACCAGCGUGUACUUAAAGAGAAAACCCGAGAUGCCUAAAACAGAUGGGUGCACAACAGAACACUGUUCACUGUUAACCGACCACCUGAAACCGUUCUCAGUGAGGCUACCCUGAAAUUAACUUGACUGGGUGAAAGGAACCAGAAUGAAAUCCACCUGCCUGUUAACACAGCCACUUACCCACAGCAAGAGAUUGGAGCAGAGGCUGAAGAGUGCGGCGGGGUGGAGCCGGGAGGGGGCUAGUCUCUGGGUGCUCCUGAGAACCUGACUGGUGCCGCUGCGGGGAUUGGGGGAGGGGGUUGUCCAGUGCUUUUUAAUUUACGACCGCCGCGCCCCAAGCCAUCCCAUAAAUUUGGGGGCCGUUUUCACCAAAGCUGUGAGUUACGAUUUUUCAAAUAAAUACAUUUUCCAAUCAGACGGGGUUCUGUUUAGGUUGAACGCGUCCUGAAGCAGACAUCUCUCUGCGCGGAACAUACACAGAGGAGGAAGCGGGGCCGGGGCGAAGCUCAGACGACAUAAAAACUUGUGUAAACACGUUGUCAUUUACGGACUUCGGAAGAGAAAGGGAAUGGGAGAGGAAAAUGUUUAAUUCUCCCUUGAAUCCUGGGGUUCCAGACCCGAGGGAAAACGUGGAAAUUUUAAUAUUCUUUUUCCAUAAGCUUGAUUUGUGUUAGGCAUUGGACAAUGGGCAGCAUCAGGUUUACCUUAAAUAGAUUCCGUAAUUUUGAGGCUGUUACAAACCUAAGAAUGGACAGAGUUUCAUUCCCCCACCCCCCACGCACAC